Molecule: ribosomal RNA, 431 nt
Filed under: uncultured bacterium
Lineage: Bacteria
Description: bacterial SSU rRNA
Rfam family: Bacterial small subunit ribosomal RNA
Source: RNAcentral
AUUGAACGCUGGCGGCAUGCCUAACACAUGCAAGUCGAACGGCAGCACAGUAUGUAGCAAUACAUAUGGGUGGCGAGUGGCGGACGGGUGAGUAACGCGUGGGAAUCUGCCCUAUAGUGGGGGACAACCCGACGAAAGUCGGGCUAAUACCGCAUACGCCCUACGGGGAAAGGCUUCGGCCGCUAUUGGAUGAGCCCGCGUCGGAUUAGCUAGUUGGUGAGGUAAUGGCUCACCAAGGCGACGAUCCGUAGCUGGUCUGAGAGGACGAUCAGCCACACUGGGACUGAGACACGGCCCAGACUCCUACGGGAGGCAGCAGUGGGGGAAUAUUGCACAAUGGGCGAAAGCCUGAUGCAGCAAUGCGCGUGUGUGAAGAAGCCGUGCGGGUUGUAAAGCACUUCGUAGGAAGAUAAGUGACGGUACUACAGAAG